AGAGGCUUAGGAUAAAAAUAAACCAAGGGCCUUCAAAGCCCUAAAUGAGGGUGAAAAUCCCUCAGCCCCUG
This 71-nucleotide transfer RNA is filed under the name Saurida undosquamis (brushtooth lizardfish). Its description in RNAcentral is "tRNA-Trp". It matches the Rfam family "tRNA". From Rfam's summary of the family: Transfer RNA (tRNA) molecules are approximately 80 nucleotides in length. Their secondary structure includes four short double-helical elements and three loops (D, anti-codon, and T loops). The record is from RNAcentral. Lineage: Eukaryota; Metazoa; Chordata; Actinopteri; Aulopiformes; Synodontidae.